This 506-nucleotide ribosomal RNA is filed under the name uncultured bacterium. Its description in RNAcentral is "bacterial SSU rRNA". It matches the Rfam family "Bacterial small subunit ribosomal RNA", at positions 30 to 516 of the family's 1533-position model. The record is from RNAcentral.
AUUGAACGCUGGCGGCGUGCCUAACACAUGCAAGUCGAGCGGUAACAGGUGUAGCAAUACAUGCUGACGAGCGGCGAACGGGUGAGUAAUGCUUUGGAAUCUUCCCAGUAGUGGGGAAUAACCAGUCGAAAGAUUGGCUAAUACCGCAUACGUCUGUAAAGGGAAAGCGGGGGACUCGCCUCUUCUUCGGAAGAGAGGCCUCGCGCUAUUGGAUGAGCCAAAGCGGAUUAGCUAGUUGGUGGGGUAAUGGCCUACCAAGGCGACAAUCCGUAGCUGGUCUGAGAGGACGACCAGCCACACCGGAACUGAGACACGGUCCGGACUCCUACGGGAGGCAGCAGUGGGAAUAUUGGACAAUGGGGAAACCCUGAUCCAGCGACGCCGCGUGUGUGAAGAAGGCCUGCGGGUUGUAAAGCACUUUUAGUGGGGACAAAAGCUACGGAUUAAUACUCUGUGGUCUUGAUUUAACCUACAGAAAAGCACCGGCUAACUCUGUGCCAGCCGCC